AUCACUUUGGAUUGUGCAUCUUCAAGGGCUGGCAUAACCAGGCUGGCUCCAGUGACAGUGGCUGAGAAUACACCAGCUUUUCUUUGUCAGCCUUUCAAAUCAAGGAGUUUAGAAGAAACCCAGCUAGCUCUCAGCAACCCUCAAGAGAUGUGAUGGAGCCCUAUUAUACGAUCUGCAGACUGUAGCUCUUCACACUGCUAACGAGUUGGUACAGCACAUCUCACUACUGAAGCCAAUAUCAUAUGCCUCAGCCUUGGAGCUCUGUGUGCUCCUCUGGCAGCAGCAGGGCUGGAGUGAGAUGGGUUGCAGGCUGUGAGUCAAUCAGCUGCUUAAAAUGUAAUGCUUCUUUCCCAAUAAAACCAAGACUGGUGGGUGACCCAAGGGGAAGUGCCCAAUCUAGUCUUUGCUCUUGUUUUUUUAUUCCUCUGUGAAAGCAACCAUGAUCUGUGCAACUUCUUUUAGAUUUAAACAGGGUUGGUGAAUGUAGAGCUGGUUGGGGUAAGAGAAAGUCCAGCUCUUUUUGAUUCAAAUUUAAGACAAUGGUAUCUUGGCUUUGUUUCUGAAGUACACAUGCAGUGCAUCUGUGUGCUCUCAGCAUACUUGUCAUGCGUCAGGGCAAAAAGAAAACACGAUGAACCCAGCAAUCAAUGAGCUUCUAUGUUGAAGAGGAUCUCCUCUUCCUGCCUCCUAACACCUUACCAAAGGCUGAAGGAGAUGUGAUACCUCAGAACAGCUGGCUCUGCCCAAGGAUUUGGCAUCCACUGCUCCUCUUGAAGCCCAGGAGACCCGAGAGAAGUGCUGGAGGUACAACACAGCUGGAAGCUCGUGUGGAAGAAUCAACAAGUUCAUGGUUCAGGAAUGCUGCUAAGAAACCACAACAAGGGACUAUGAACAAUUGCAGAUCCAGCUUCCCUAUGGAAAAAGGUGGGGGUGACCCACAACAGAACCACUCCAGGAUUUGACUCAUCUGCCCCAGGAGCUGUAAAAGCAGCACAUAAUGUUGCUUGUUACAGAGAACAUGGAAUUUCCAGGUGGCAGCCAGGAAAGGUGUCCAGGAAAGGUCCCUCCAGCCUUCCCUGGUAUUUGCAAGCUGUGCUGAGUGAUGCACAUGUGUGCUGCACUCGGUGCAGGGUGGGCAUUGGAUAUAGUGGCUCCAAGGUGGCACAGUUGUGUCCCACAGGUGUGCAGUUUUGCAAAGAACAGAUCUCCAAAUUGUCUGUGUUUGGGGAGGUGACAGAAAAACACCAAAGAAACCAAGCUUCCAAUGUUUAAAGGAGGCCUGCAGGAAGGAUUGGGAAUGUCUCUUUAUCAAGGAGUAUAGGUUAGGACAAAGGGUAACGGCUCUAAACUAAAAGAGAGUAAGUUUAGAUUAGAUCUCAGGAAAAAAUUCUUCACUCAGAGAUUGGUGAGGCCCCACACUGCUGCCCAAAGCUGUGGGUGUCCAUCCCUGGAUGUGCCCAAGGCCUUAGAUGGCCCUGGAUUCAGCCUGAGGUGGGGGGCUGUCCCUGCCCAUGGCUGAAGUUGGGUCUGGAUGGGCUUUUUGUCCUUCCGACCCAUUCUAUGAUUCUACAGAAAAAAAAUAAAAAAAUAAAAAAAAAUUCCAGCAGAACUGUUGGAUGCCAGUAUAACCUAUUCUGUGGUGCCUCUUUGACCCUUCUUACAAAGCUGAUGGAUGGGGCUUUUUGCAUAUGAGAAGAUAUAAGCCAUAAAAGGCAAGAGUAGAAGUAUGUUCCUGGAUCUGCAGAUCCUAGAAACAUCUAGCCCUACUCAUUGAUUACAAUUUUUAACUUAUUCCAGGCGUUUUACA
RNAcentral lists this long non-coding RNA (1807 nucleotides) under Meleagris gallopavo (turkey). RNAcentral describes it as "lncRNA (ENSMGAG00000017761.1)". Lineage: Eukaryota; Metazoa; Chordata; Aves; Galliformes; Phasianidae. The record is from RNAcentral.